Molecule: long non-coding RNA, 401 nt
Filed under: Heterocephalus glaber (naked mole-rat)
Lineage: Eukaryota; Metazoa; Chordata; Mammalia; Rodentia; Bathyergidae
Description: lncRNA (ENSHGLG00000032101.1)
Source: RNAcentral
AGUAGAGCCAGGCAGGCCUGGGCCCCUGGGGACCCCCAGCCUUCGAAGCAAGGCCUCACUUCCUGGAGAACAGGGGCGCAGGGACCACCGUCCUGAGCACCAAGGACGCGCCCCGUGCUGCCUCGAGUGACCCUGGGCCUUCCGCCCGCACCUUCCCCUGGGUGUCUGGACACUGGGAGAAGAGUCCUGGCGAGGCGAGAAUGAGGCCCCAGGAAGAGUGAAGAUGGGAGGGGAGGAAUGAGGAGGUCCGGUGCGCCCGCCCCGACUGUGCUCUGUAGCAUUUCCCAGGCAGAUAAAGCGCCGAGGCCUCGGUCAGCACCAGGCGCCUGCUCACUGCGGGGUGGGGUGGGGGUGCCUCCACCCUGCUGUUACUUCGAGACUCACACAGAACCUGGCCUGGA